GACGAACGCUGGCGGCGUGCCUAAUACAUGCAAGUCGAGCGGAUGGAAGGAAGCUUGCUUCCUAAAGUCAGCGGCGGACGGGUGAGUAACACGUGGGCAACCUGCCCCUAAGAUCGGGAUAACUUCGGGAAACCGGAGCUAAUACCGGAUAUGAUUAUGUCUCACAUGAGACAAAAUGGAAAGACGGUUUCGGCUGUCACUUAGGGAUGGGCCCGCGGCGCAUUAGCUAGUUGGUGAGGUAACGGCUCACCAAGGCGACGAUGCGUAGCCGACCUGAGAGGGUGAUCGGCCACACUGGGACUGAGACACGGCCCAGACUCAUACGGGAGGCAGCAGGAGGGAAUCUUCCGCAAUGGACGAAAGUCUGACGGAGCAACGCCGCGUGAGUGAAGAAGGUUUUCGGAUCGUAAAACUCUGUUGUUAGGGAAGAACAAGUACCAUAGUAACUGAUGGUACCUUGACGGUACCUAACCAGAAAGCCACGGCUAACUACGUGCCAGCAGCCGCCGUAA
Molecule: ribosomal RNA, 512 nt
Filed under: uncultured bacterium
Lineage: Bacteria
Description: partial 16S ribosomal RNA
Rfam family: Bacterial small subunit ribosomal RNA
Source: RNAcentral